Molecule: long non-coding RNA, 291 nt
Filed under: Selaginella moellendorffii
Lineage: Eukaryota; Viridiplantae; Streptophyta; Lycopodiopsida; Selaginellales; Selaginellaceae
Description: long non-coding RNA (SMOE_LNC001276)
Source: RNAcentral
ACAGAUUCGACUUGAUGAUCAGCGAUGUCUUCAUGCCGGACAUGGACGGCUUCAAACUCCUUGAGUACGUUGGCUUGGAGAUGGACCUCCCGGUGAUCAGUAAGUUCUUCCUCCAAAGCUCCUGGAACUCGCAAAUGAGAUGAGAGGACAUACAACUUGACAAAGCUCUGACCUUUGCAGUGACGUCCUCGAACGGAGAAACCGGCAUUGUGAUGAAGGGUGUCAUCCACGGGGCCUGCGAUUACCUCAUCAAGCCGGUCAGGACGGAGGAGCUCCGGAACAUCUGGCAGC